UGCAUCGGCCGGGAAUUGAACCUGGGGUGCCCGCGUGGCAGGCGAGCAUUCUACCACUGAGCCAAAAGC
This 69-nucleotide transfer RNA is filed under the name Cordylochernes scorpioides. RNAcentral's name for it is "tRNA-Gly". The record is from RNAcentral. Lineage: Eukaryota; Metazoa; Arthropoda; Arachnida; Pseudoscorpiones; Chernetidae.